This is a long non-coding RNA of Cervus elaphus (red deer), 1880 nucleotides long. RefSeq lists it as uncharacterized. The record is from RefSeq and is a predicted model, not a curated record. The transcript is spliced from 4 exons. Lineage: Eukaryota; Metazoa; Chordata; Mammalia; Artiodactyla; Cervidae.
GAUGUUUGGCAAAGUUUUCAUCAUUAUGCAACUUUGUUAGUGAAAACAAGUUAAGUAUGUCGAUUAUAAAACACUUAUCUGCACAUUUUGAAAAUUAGAUGUUAUAUAUUUUAUAGAAAUAGAUAAUAUUUGUUAAUUUGUGUUACUGUUUUAUUUAGAGUUUUUGCAUCUCUGCUUACAAAAGACAUUGGCCCAUAUUGUAUUCACUUCUUCCUCUCUCUCUCUCUCUGGCUUUGACCAUUCACAUGGAGGUAACUGAAUGGAAACAAGGGGUCAUAAACUUAGAAGAGAGCUGGAUACCUAAUUUAUAAAGUACUAGGGAAGAAGAAGCCAUGCAAUAGAAAGACUUCAGUCUCUGACACUGUGUAGAAGACCUUGGUCCCCAAUACUAGGAUCCUUGAUCUGCUCUUAUUCUUUUCCCCUCAAGCAUAUGUCUUUGUUAUGGACAGCUCUCUGGGAAUAUUUCACCAUGAUUACUCUUCCCCUUUCUGUGCCAAAGCCACAAGAGGAUUUUCUUGGAUCUUCACUGUGAGACAAGCUGGGUUUCAGGAACUUAAAGCUCACUGAAGACCCAUAAAGCUGUGGUUCCACACGUUUCUCCCUCUCAUCCUGGUUCAUAUUCAGUCUCCAGUUUUUCCUCAAAAUCACCCUUUAAGUGUCCCUAUUGGAUUACGGCACCAGCAGCUUCCGCUUCAGUUCAUGAAUAAAUCUCAGCUGUGACUCUGUAUUUGCCUGCCUCACCAACAUUCAGAGUGGGAGUUUGCCCUGCAGUCUCUGUUCUCUGAUGGGUCCAUGGAAAAUCAUCAAUUUUAAGUGCAUUUAUCUUCAUCAAUAUAAAGACAGGAAUGACCUCCAAGUCCUUUAUAUAUUGGAAAUGAAAUCAACAGUCCUAUUUUAAUUUUCUAUCCUAUAGAUAAUUCUUCCCAUCACAUGAACUAACUGCUCUUAUCCAUACCUAUUGUGUCAGCCUCACAUGUUUGCAACGUACCAUGGAGUAAGAAUACAUGUCAGUCCUUCUCUCCUAAUGUGGAACAAAAUCACCCACAGAAGUCAAGCCCUUGGAGAUUUUCUGAAAAACAAACAAAUGCUGUGUCUAGAAAGCAGGGGUGACCAUGAAUAGAGGACUUGGUCCUGCGAACCAAAGAAAGAGGAACAUUGUCUUCUUAAAAAUUUUUUUUUUCUAACUGAGCUUAAGAUAUUCACCUCAACUGAUUUAUGAGAGUGUAGGUGGAAGCAAGGGCAAGGGUUGGAUUUCCUCAAGCAUGUUCUCAUGCCCGUAUAUGUUGCUCUUACUGCACUGAUUUGGAGCUAAGGGUGUGUCUUACAAAUGCUUAGGGCAUGUUCCUGUAAUAUUUCAUUAUGUGCCAAAGCAGUCAUCAUCUCCUGCAAAGUAGCAGUGUCUAGAAACAAGUUAUCAUUAGGAAAUAAUAAAGGCUAUUCAUUUUAUUGACAUCUAAAAUGCAUGAGAACAUUUAUGACCAAACUCAUAUAUUUUUCUCAUCAUGAAUAUGUGGCAUUAAUUAUCAAGCCUGCUCCAGGGAUAGACAUGUUUAUAACAUUAUGAAACAGAUCUUUCUUCUAAGUUAAGGAUGUUUGCAUUUGGAAGGAAAUUACUGUGCCGGUUAAUUUGGCCCAGUCUCUGAUGACAUCUUUCUGCAACCAUCAAUAUUUUUCUCCAUGGGUAGCAUUUAAAAAAUACUUGAUAUUACAUUCUAAACAAUGCUGGUAGGAAACUGUGUUUAAUAUUUUAAAUUAUUACAAUUGAGGCAUUACUUAACUAGAAAAAGCUAUCUGAGUUAUAUUUCAUUUGAAAAACAAUAUGACAUGUAGUAAAGGAAAAAAAUAGUUUAUAAUAGUUACUACUACCUCAUUUAAGAUAU